GAGGAGGAGGAUCCUAGGACCCAGGUUUCUGAACUGCAGCUACUCAUGCCUAUGCUGCUCUGGGCAUCAAAUACUCUACAGAACCAUACUUCACCAUCAUACCCUGACACAUCCUUCAAGGCCGAUGAAAACAUUGAACAAGGUUUUCACCUGAUACUGAACCCAGCUGACAACAUAGCACCAGCACAAUGAAAUAAGCAAAACAUUACUCUGCCUGAAAAAGACAAGUAGAGAGGGACAUGACCAGACUGGUCAGAAAAUGUCCCAACUCUAUCUACUUCAAGCUUCAGGUCUCACCUGAGGCCAAUAACAAUUUCUCACUGAAAAUACUGGAAGCUGAAUGAGUACUAGAAGUGGUUUG
Non-coding RNA from Pelodiscus sinensis (Chinese soft-shelled turtle), 361 nucleotides. NCBI's taxonomy places the organism in Eukaryota, Metazoa, Chordata, Testudines, Trionychidae. The record is from RefSeq and is a predicted model, not a curated record.